AGCGAACGCUGGCGGCAGGCUUAACACAUGCAAGUCGAGCGGGCACUUCGGUGUCAGCGGCAGACGGGUGAGUAACACGUGGGAACGUGCCCUUCGGUUCGGAAUAACUCAGGGAAACUUGAGCUAAUACCGGAUACGCCCUUUUGGGGAAAGGUUUACUGCCGAAGGAUCGGCCCGCGUCUGAUUAGCUAGUUGGUGGGGUAAUGGCCUACCAAGGCGACGAUCAGUAGCUGGUCUGAGAGGAUGAUCAGCCACACUGGGACUGAGACACGGCCCAGACUCCUACGGGAGGCAGCAGUGGGGAAUAUUGGACAAUGGGCGCAAGCCUGAUCCAGCCAUGCCGCGUGAGUGAUGAAGGCCUUAGGGUUGUAAGCUCUUUCGACGGGGACGAUAAUGACGGUACCCGUAGAAGAAGCCCCGGCUAACUUCGUGCCAACAG
RNAcentral lists this ribosomal RNA (439 nucleotides) under uncultured bacterium. RNAcentral describes it as "bacterial SSU rRNA". It matches the Rfam family "Bacterial small subunit ribosomal RNA", at positions 29 to 514 of the family's 1533-position model. The record is from RNAcentral.